RNAcentral lists this small nuclear RNA (107 nucleotides) under Microcebus murinus (gray mouse lemur). The record is from RNAcentral. Lineage: Eukaryota; Metazoa; Chordata; Mammalia; Primates; Cheirogaleidae.
GUGCUUGCUUUUGUAGCACAUAUACUAAAAGUAGAAUGAUACAGAGAAGAUUAGCAUUGCCCUCACACAAAGAUGACAAGCAAAUUUAUGAAGUGUUCCUUAUUUUU